CCUACGGGGGGCAGCAGUGGGGAAUAUUGGACAAUGGGCGAAAGCCUGAUCCAGCCAUGCCGCGUGUGUGAAGAAGGCCUUCGGGUUGUAAAGCACUUUCAGUGGGGAAGAAAGCCUUGGGGCUAAUACCCUCGAGGAAGGACAUCACCCACAGAAGAAGCACCGGCUAACUCCGUGCCAGCAGCCGCGGUAAUACGGAGGGUGCGAGCGUUAAUCGGAAUUACUGGGCGUAAAGCGCGCGUAGGCGGUCUGAUAAGCCGGUUGUGAAAGCCCCGGGCUCAACCUGGGAACGGCAUCCGGAACUGUCAGGCUAGAGUGCAGGAGAGGAAGGUAGAAUUCCCGGUGUAGCGGUGAAAUGCGUAGAGAUCGGGAGGAAUACCAGUGGCGAAGGCGGCCUUCUGGACUGGCACUGACGCUGAGGUGCGAAAGCGUGGGUAGCAAACAGGAUUAGAUACCCUGGUAGUC
This 465-nucleotide ribosomal RNA is filed under the name Vreelandella stevensii. Its description in RNAcentral is "partial 16S ribosomal RNA". It matches the Rfam family "Bacterial small subunit ribosomal RNA", at positions 338 to 795 of the family's 1533-position model. Lineage: Bacteria; Pseudomonadati; Pseudomonadota; Gammaproteobacteria; Oceanospirillales; Halomonadaceae. The record is from RNAcentral.